GACGUAGGGCGCGAGCGUUGUCCGGAUUUAUUGGGCGUAAAGAGCUCGUAGGCGGCUUGUCGCGUCGACUGUGAAAACCCGCGGCUCAACUGCGGGCCUGCAGCCGAUACGGGCAGGCUAGAGUUCGGUAGGGGAGACUGGAAUUCCUGGUGUAGCGGUGAAAUGCGCAGAUAUCAGGAGGAACACCGGUGGCGAAGGCGGCAUCCUGGACCGGUAUUGACGCUGAGGCGCGAAAGCCAGGGGAGCAAACGGG
RNAcentral lists this ribosomal RNA (253 nucleotides) under uncultured bacterium. RNAcentral describes it as "partial 16S ribosomal RNA". It matches the Rfam family "Bacterial small subunit ribosomal RNA", at positions 524 to 776 of the family's 1533-position model. The record is from RNAcentral.